UCUGGAACUCUCUCCUGCAGAUCUCUUUCAAAAAAUCCAUUAUGGGUUCCAUUGUUUUAAAUGAGAUGUUUUAUUUCCCAGAAGACUAAAAGACAUAUGACACAGUUUUGCAACUCUCAUGUUUGAAAGUUGCUGGUUUUGUCCAGAUGCUGAACACCUGUAACCUCAGAUCAUUUCCAUCUACUUGCAUUCUCAGUCUCAUCCUGUAUGAGGCAGCUGUACUGGUCUGCCAUACUCUGCCAGCAAAUGUGAUCCCACACAUGAUCCCAGAGCAUUAUUUCACCACAUUCAUGAGGACAGUGAGCUAGAAAACCUAUUCUUUUGCCUUUACUGGAUAAUUUUGUGUCCUGAUAAAGUACCACAGAGAUUACUCCUGCCUAAUGAGUACCAUACAGAAUUGUAUUGAAUGUUGAACUUCAAAUAAGCAUGGUACUAGCAGAUCUUGGCAGAUCUGAUGUGGUCAUAUUAAUCAUCGUCCUGUAGAGCUUGUGUGUGCACAGAAGAUGGGGUGCCCUUGAAAAACCCAUAAGAACUGAAGGAAUAUUAUGAAAAGGCAAUAUUUUGCUGGGCCAAAUUUCAAAGUGUGAGCAAUCUCCUACUGGAUCUGCCAAAUCCUUAAGUGGGCAGGGGCAAGGAAGAGGAAAUGAAGACAUGUCAUAACGUGGUGUUUGGCUGCCAAGUCUGUCUUUCACAAUAUGAAUCCAUAUGACAAAUGUCCCUAUUGUAGCCAACUCACAUGGAUGGAAAGGUUGGAUGCACUACAGUGACAUACUUCUGAUAGCUGUCUGCAGUGUCUUCCACAAGUUGAAGUAUAU
Long non-coding RNA from Centrocercus urophasianus (Greater sage-grouse), 815 nucleotides. RefSeq lists it as uncharacterized. The transcript is spliced from 6 exons. The record is from RefSeq and is a predicted model, not a curated record. Lineage: Eukaryota; Metazoa; Chordata; Aves; Galliformes; Phasianidae.